RNAcentral lists this ribosomal RNA (497 nucleotides) under uncultured bacterium. RNAcentral's name for it is "partial 16S ribosomal RNA". It matches the Rfam family "Bacterial small subunit ribosomal RNA", at positions 28 to 507 of the family's 1533-position model. The record is from RNAcentral.
GAUGAACGCUGGCGGCGUGCCUAAUACAUGCAAGUCGAGCGAACAGACGAGGAGCUUGCUCCUCUGACGUUAGCGGCGGACGGGUGAGUAACACGUGGAUAACCUACCUAUAAGACUGGUAUAACUUCGGGAAACCGGCGCUAAUACCGGAUAAUAUAUUGAACCGCAUGGUUCAAUAGUUAAAGACGGUUUUGCUGUCUCUUAUAGAUGGAUCCGCGCCGCAUUAGCUAGUUGGUAAGGUAACGGCUUACCAAGGCAACGAUGCGUAGCCGACCUGAGAGGGUGAUCGGCCACACUGGAACUGAGACACGGUCCAGACUCCUACGGGAGGCAGCAGUAGGGAAUCUUCCGCAAUGGGCGAAAGCCUGACGGAGCAACGCCGCGUGAGUGAUGAAGGUCUUCGGAUCGUAAAACUCUGUUAUUAGGGAAGAACAAAUGUGUAAGUAACUAUGCACGUAUUGACGGUACCUAAUAAGAAAGCAACGGCUAACUACGUG